CUCCCUGGUACCAUACCCCAGCCGAUGAGUAUGUACCCCCAGAAGUACUUCCGCUCGGAGAAGAAGGAGACGGCAAGCAGGGUGUACAGGGAAGGCCUCCCUCUCCAGGACUCCUUUAGAUUUCCCCAGCAUCCAGACCUCACCUGCCAAAGUGCCGUAGCCCUGGAAGCCACACAGUGAGCACGAGCUCCAUCUUGCACCUUUACCAGCCGAUGAGGGUAAAGACAUUAGCUGAAAUACUUCUAAGGGGCCAGGCGUGGUGACUCACGCUUGUAAUUCCAAGCACUUUGGCAGGCUGAGGCAGGUGGAUCACCUGAAGCCAGGAGUUCAAGAGCAGCCUGGCCAACAUGGCAAAACCCUGUCUAUACUAAAAAUACAAAAAUUAGCCAGGCAUGGUGGCGGGAGCCUGUAAUCUCAGCUCCUAGGGAGGCUGAGCCAGGAGAAUCGCUUAAACCUGGAAGCUGGAGGUUGCAGUGAGCCAAGAUCACACCACCACACUCCAGCCUGGGUGACAGAGCAAGACUCCAUCUCAAAAAGAAAAAAAAAAAAAAAAG
RNAcentral lists this non-coding RNA (554 nucleotides) under Pongo abelii (Sumatran orangutan). Lineage: Eukaryota; Metazoa; Chordata; Mammalia; Primates; Hominidae. The record is from RNAcentral.